This 532-nucleotide ribosomal RNA is filed under the name Escherichia coli. Its description in RNAcentral is "partial 23S ribosomal RNA". It matches the Rfam family "Bacterial large subunit ribosomal RNA", at positions 1116 to 1649 of the family's 2925-position model. Lineage: Bacteria; Pseudomonadati; Pseudomonadota; Gammaproteobacteria; Enterobacterales; Enterobacteriaceae. The record is from RNAcentral.
CCAUCAUUUAAAGAAAGCGUAAUAGCUCACUGGUCGAGUCGGCCUGCGCGGAAGAUGUAACGGGGCUAAACCAUGCACCGAAGCUGCGGCAGCGACGCUUAUGCGUUGUUGGGUAGGGGAGCGUUCUGUAAGCCUGCGAAGGUGUGCUGUGAGGCAUGCUGGAGGUAUCAGAAGUGCGAAUGCUGACAUAAGUAACGAUAAAGCGGGUGAAAAGCCCGCUCGCCGGAAGACCAAGGGUUCCUGUCCAACGUUAAUCGGGGCAGGGUGAGUCGACCCCUAAGGCGAGGCCGAAAGGCGUAGUCGAUGGGAAACAGGUCAAUAUUCCUGUACUUGGUGUUACUGCGAAGGGGGGACGGAGAAGGCUAUGUUGGCCGGGCGACGGUUGUCCCGGUUUAAGCGUGUAGGCUGGUUUUCCAGGCAAAUCCGGAAAAUCAAGGCUGAGGCGUGAUGACGAGGCACUACGGUGCUGAAGCAACAAAUGCCCUGCUUCCAGGAAAAGCCUCUAAGCAUCAGGUAACAUCAAAUCGUACCC